Molecule: long non-coding RNA, 458 nt
Organism: Vicia villosa (hairy vetch)
Lineage: Eukaryota; Viridiplantae; Streptophyta; Magnoliopsida; Fabales; Fabaceae
Exons: 3
Source: RefSeq, a predicted model, not a curated record
CUUUCUUCUUCCUUUUAACAACACAAUUCCAUUCCUCAACUUUUCAAUCUCAUCCCUCUCAAUUUCUCUCAAAACUCCAUUCCUCUCAACUUCUCAACAACACUUAAGAAGGCAGAAUCUUGGAAUAAAGCUCUGAUAUUUUGAAGGAAAUUUUCAAAGUCUACACCAAAGUUGUCUUCAAAUAAGUAUGGAACAUUACCAAUUUUAUCGUAGUUGGAUGUACGAUAGAAUGUUUCCUGGACGACGUGGGCUUAAACCACUUUUUAUGGAAGGAGUUGCCGCGUUUCUCUCGUAUGCGUUUGCUCAAGAAUGUUGUCGCAGGGAAGGAGGGGUAAGGUGUCCGUGUUUAAAGUGUGGUUGCAGAAAUAUUAUCAGUGACCCUAGUGAAGUGAAGCGUCACUUGGAGAGAGUGGGUUUUAGGCCAAAUUACUGGGUUUGGACAUCUAAUGGGGAAACAA